UCGUUCUCUCAAGUCCAGCUGUGGCCAAGCUUCUGGUUGCCCCUUCUCUGGCAGUGCUUCUCAGCGGCAUCACCAACGUUGGUGGCCGUCGGUCUUGAGGGAGGUCAUCGGAUUGUGAAAUGCACCAGGAUGCUCCCCCAAUAGGUUGAUUCUUUUCAUUUCAUAGCUAACAAGAGAGGGAUCUAGGCUCUAGCUAAGGUGAUGAACAGAGUUAACGGUUGAUUCGUUUCACUUCCUACACCAAGAAGACUGUCAAGUUCUUGUUUUUUCAAUUUCAAUUGGCCAAUUCCAUUUCCAAUCUUGACCAUGGGGAAUCCAAGAAUCAACUAAUGGCUUUGUCAACAAUAAUGUAUCUUGUAUUUAUCAGCAUGUAUCUUCUGCAAACGGGG
Long non-coding RNA from Quercus lobata, 389 nucleotides. RefSeq lists it as uncharacterized. The transcript is spliced from 2 exons. NCBI's taxonomy places the organism in Eukaryota, Viridiplantae, Streptophyta, Magnoliopsida, Fagales, Fagaceae. The record is from RefSeq and is a predicted model, not a curated record.